This 671-nucleotide long non-coding RNA is filed under the name Fukomys damarensis (Damara mole-rat). RNAcentral describes it as "lncRNA (ENSFDAG00000024350.1)". Lineage: Eukaryota; Metazoa; Chordata; Mammalia; Rodentia; Bathyergidae. The record is from RNAcentral.
AUGCACAUCUUUGGUGGGCACAAGAAGGAGAGCUCCUUCAGAAUGAAAGCACACCGGCUGCUACUAAUGCUGCUGCCGACGGAACUUCCAUUGACCCUGGCAGAGACCCGGGCCCUGCCGAACACUCUCAGGUGGUCGCUGCCUCCUUCAUCAGCACUGCAGCCCAAUGAACUAAGGAAAACCUUCCUGGAAUCUCUAUGGUCAAGAAACAUUAAGUAUCAACUGAAGCAGUUCAGAGAGGAACAUCGUCUUUGCAGCUCAUUUCUCUCAGUGGAAAACAAUUCCAUGUUUGAUAGCCAGACUACAUUUCCAGAAUUUGGUCAUCUAAAAAUAAACAAUCAAUGUUAAAAAAUAAAAGUAAAACUACAAGUCAGCAAACUUUGCCCUAACAUAUUCUAAGGAUAGGAUGAGGAUUAAGAGGCUCAUGAUUAGGUAUUAGAAAUGUAACACCUUUGUUACUCUGCUUAACAUUUCUUGAUGGUCCUGUUACUGCCAAUAUCUCGUGUAACCCACACUCAACAAUCUGAGUUUAGUCCUUACUUAGCCCUUUUCUCCAGAUAAGAAAACUGGGUCUCAGCGAGAAUAUGCCACCUGCUCCAGAUCACCUGGCCACUAAGUAGCAGAGCUGAUGGAUUCCAAGUCCAAACUCUUAACUUCCAACAUUAUGCCUG